CUUGUAGCAAAUAAUACAAUACUCCUAACUACUGUUCGUGGGGCUCUUACUUGGGUGGAAGCUCAGGUUAUGAAGUUACAUAGACACAGGUUCAGAGCCUGGCUCCUUCGCUCAUCAGCUGUGUGUCUUCAGGUGAGUUACUAUGCCUCUCUGUUCUUUAGGCUUCUCAUCUUUAACAUGAGGACUGCCUGCUGUGUGCUAGGCUUGGCGCUGUGAUGAGACCUUGAGACACCCAGCUCACUGAGACCUCCAGACAACUCUGUAACAUAAGGAGCUGAGUAAGCCCAUUUUACAGACAGGAAAUGCCAAGUCACCCAACAAAUGAAAUGGGGAGCUGCAGGUUGCCUGGGAACCUCCGCCUGCGUGAAUGGCAACGCCUUCCCAAAGUGUCACACGUGGCCAACUUGCUCUGCCCAGACUGUCACCUGCGCUUGUGUCAGCACAGCUUGUGGCUAGGAGGUGAGUUGUUCAGCACAGGCAAGGAACACCGGGAGCACCCCCGGAGGGAGUCACCAC
This 516-nucleotide long non-coding RNA is filed under the name Chinchilla lanigera (long-tailed chinchilla). Its description in RNAcentral is "lncRNA (ENSCLAG00000028421.1)". The record is from RNAcentral. Lineage: Eukaryota; Metazoa; Chordata; Mammalia; Rodentia; Chinchillidae.